RNAcentral lists this transfer RNA (84 nucleotides) under Desulfurococcaceae archaeon. RNAcentral describes it as "tRNA-Ser". It matches the Rfam family "tRNA". From Rfam's summary of the family: Transfer RNA (tRNA) molecules are approximately 80 nucleotides in length. Lineage: Archaea; Thermoproteati; Thermoproteota; Thermoprotei; Desulfurococcales; Desulfurococcaceae. The record is from RNAcentral.
GCCGGGGUGCCCGAGCGGACUAAGGGGCCGGCCUUGAGAGCCGGUGGGGGUCUCCCCGCGCGGGUUCGAAUCCCGCCCCCGGCG